Molecule: ribosomal RNA, 405 nt
Filed under: uncultured bacterium
Lineage: Bacteria
Description: bacterial SSU rRNA
Rfam family: Bacterial small subunit ribosomal RNA
Source: RNAcentral
UGGGGAAUAUUGGGCAAUGGGGGAAACCCUGACCCAGCAACGCCGCGUGAAGGAAGAAGGCUUUCGGGUUGUAAACUUCUUUUACCAGGGACGAAGAAAGUGACGGUACCUGGAGAAAAAGCCACGGCUAACUACGUGCCAGCAGCCGCGGUAAUACGUAGGUGGCAAGCGUUGUCCGGAUUUACUGGGUGUAAAGGGCGUGUAGGCGGAGAUGCAAGUCAGAUGUGAAAUCCUCGGGCUUAACCCGGGAACUGCAUUUGAAACUGUAUCCCUUGAGUAUCGGAGAGGCAGGCGGAAUUCCUAGUGUAGAGGUGAAAUGCGUAGAUAUUAGGAGGAACACCAGGGGCGAAGGCGGCCUGCUGGACGACAACUGACGCUGAGGCGAGAAAGCGUGGGGAGAAAACA